This 502-nucleotide ribosomal RNA is filed under the name uncultured microorganism. RNAcentral describes it as "bacterial SSU rRNA". It matches the Rfam family "Bacterial small subunit ribosomal RNA", at positions 9 to 501 of the family's 1533-position model. The record is from RNAcentral.
GAGUUUGAUCAUGGCUCAGGAUGAACGCCGGCGGUGUGCCUAAUACAUGCAAGUCGUACGCACUGGCCCAACUGAUUGAUGGUGCUUGCACCUGAUCGACGAUGGAUCACCAGUGAGUGGCGGACGGGUGAGUAACACGUAGGUAACCUGCCCUGUACAGGGGAUAACAAUCAGAAAUGACUGCUAAUACCGCAUAAGACCACAGCACCGCAUGGUGCAGGGGUAAAAACUCCGGUGGUACAGGAUGGACCCGCGUCUGAUUAGCUGGUUGGUGAGGUAACGGCUCACCAAGGCGACGAUCAGUAGCCGGCUUGAGAGAGUGAACGGCCACAUUGGGACUGAGACACGGCCCAAACUCCUACGGGAGGCAGCAGUGGGGAAUAUUGCACAAUGGGGAAACCCUGAUGCAGCAACGCCGCGUGAGUGAAGAAGUAUUUCGGUAUGUAAAGCUCUAUCAGCAGGGAAGAAAGUGACGGUACCUGACUAAGAAGCCCCGGCUAAC